RNAcentral lists this ribosomal RNA (1512 nucleotides) under Bacillus sp. (in: firmicutes). Its description in RNAcentral is "bacterial SSU rRNA". It matches the Rfam family "Bacterial small subunit ribosomal RNA". Lineage: Bacteria; Bacillati; Bacillota; Bacilli; Caryophanales; Bacillaceae. The record is from RNAcentral.
GAGUUUGAUCCUGGCUCAGGACGAACGAACGCUGGCGGCGUGCCUAAUACAUGCAAGUCGAGCGGACAGAUGGGAGCUUGCUCCCUGAUGUUAGCGGCGGACGGGUGAGUAACACGUGGGUAACCUGCCUGUAAGACUGGGAUAACUCCGGGAAACCGGGGCUAAUACCGGAUGCUUGUUUGAACCGCAUGGUCAAACAUAAAAGGUGGCUUCGGCUACCACUUACAGAUGGACCCGCGGCGCAUUAGCUAGUUGGUGAGGUAAUGGCUCACCAAGGCAACGAUGCGUAGCCGACCUGAGAGGAAUCUUCCGCAAUGGACGAAAGUCUGACGGAGCAACGCCGCGUGAGUGAUGAAGGUUUUCGGAUCGUAAAGCUCUGUUGUUAGGGAAGAACAAGUGCCGUUCAAAUAGGGCGGCACCUUGACGGUACCUAACCAGAAAGCCACGGCUAACUACGUGCCAGCAGCCGCCCUAAUACGUAGGUGGCAAGCGUUGUCCGGAAUUAUUGGGCGUAAAGGGCUCGCAGGCGGUUUCUUAAGUCUGAUGUGAAAGCCCCCGGCUCAACCGGGGAGGGUCAUUGGAAACUGGGGAACUUGAGUGCAGAUGUGAAAGCCCCCGGCUCAACCGGGGAGGGUCAUUGGAAACUGGGGAACUUGAGUGCAGAAGAGGAGAGUGGAAUUCCACGUGUAGCGGUGAAAUGCGUAGAGAUGUGGAGGAACACCAGUGGCGAAGGCGACUCUCUGGUCUGUAACUGACGCUGAGGAGCGAAAGCGUGGGAGCGAACAGGAUUAGAUACCCUGGUAGUCCACGCCGUAAACGAUGAGUGCUAAGUGUUAGGGGGUUUCCGCCCCUUAGUGCUGCAGCUAACGCAUUAAGCACUCCGCCUGGGGAGUACGGUCGCAAGACUGAAACUCUCAAAGGAAUUGACGGGGGCCCGCACAAGCGUGGAGCAUGUGGUUUAAUUCGAAGCAACGCGAAGAACCUUACCAGGUCUUGACAUCCUCUGACACCCCUAGAGAUAGGGCUUCCCCUUCGGGGGCAGAGUGACAGGUGGUGCAUGGUUGUCGUCAGCUCGUGUCGUGAGAUGUUGGGUUAAGUCCCGCAACGAGCGCAACCCUUGAUCUUAGUGCCAGCAUUCAGUUGGGCACUCUAAGGUGACUGCCGGUGACAAACCGGAGGAAGGUGGGGAUGACGUCAAAUCAUCAUGCCCCUUAUGACCUGGGCUACACACGUGCUACAAUGGACAGAACAAAGGGCAGCGAGACCGCGAGGUUAAGCCAAUCCCACAAAUCUGUUCUCAGUUCGGAUCGCAGUCUGCAACUCGACUGCGUGAAGCUGGAAUCGCUAGUAAUCGCGGAUCAGCAUGCCGCGGUGAAUACGUUCCCGGGCCUUGUACACACCGCCCGUCACACCACGAGAGUUUGUAACACCCGAAGUCGGUGAGGUAACCUUUAUGGAGCCAGCCGCCGAAGGUGGGACAGAUGAUUGGGGUGAAGUCGUAACAAGGUAGCC